UACGCCUGCCACCAUCUUCCUCCUUGUCCCUCUUUCUCGUUGCUGUGGUCUACUGUGGAGGCGUGGAGUGCUGAUCCUAGAUCCUACCCACACUCUUUCCGAAGCAGUCCCCGUAUCCCCUCGCGCCAUUUCCGAAUCAUUUCGCCGAAUCUCGGCGUCUCCACCACAUUAACGCCAUGCAUCCACCGGAUCCGACCAUCGGCUUCUACGGCAAUGCGCGCUGAUGCGACCAUAACGGCCUCACGCUCCAUGGAUUCUUAUUUUGUUGCACGGCUUUUGUGGCGUCUGCUUGCCGUCCUGAAAUGCCUGCGCGGGCCGGGCGCACGGGAGGUGUUCGACAGAUUGGCCAAACGGGACAGCACGUUCGACGUGCCGCGAAUUUCCUCCGCGAGUCUGCAUCGACGACGAUCAGAAGGAAUCCUGUGGUUUGGAUGUCAAUCAUGGAUAACUGAGGGCUGCGACCCGUGUUCAGUGCGAUGCCUGACAGACAUCUGUUCGCGUUUCAGGAGGCUGUUGGCGUAAUGCUUGGCACAAGCUGGCAUUUCUGGAGCAUAUGUGAGGGAAGACUCACCAUGUUUGGAAGGGAUGCUGCUAGGAUGACGCCGCAGUUCCAUCUCCGCCGUAAAUAAGGUCACUGGUGUGAACCCACCAGCAGAAACUGAGCAGAAUGGCUGCAAUUGCUACAUAAGGCCAUGAAGCACCGUGCGGUAUCAUAGAGACCAAUGAAGAAGCUCGAUAGCGUGGAAUAAGCAAAUUGCACUGCUUCACUAUCUGUUAACUGUGGCAUGAAUCCAUCAAUUAGUUUUGUUUAGAGGUUUAUCCCAUUAUCUCCCCCAGGCUUGUAUGCAACUGAACAAGCAUUUGUCAGUUGUGGACUGGAAGUAGUGAAUUUUCACCCACCAGGUUUCAGCUGACCAUGCUGCAGUUUAUUUACAUCCAGGAGGCUGUUGGCGUAAAGCUUGGCAUAGGCUGGCAUUUGAGACAGAACGCAUCUGGGGACUGACUUGGUUUGUGUUUAACGAACUGCCCGGAUGGACUGCACAUGUGGUUCUCCGUGAAGUGCCUCUUGGAGGCUAUAUGCUUUAUGGAGUCUUGUGCAAGAUCAAUCAUUCUGGAUCUGCAGAUGGUAAUCCCAUGGCUUGCUGGUCUAUCCUAUGGUGGAUUGUGCACAGCUGCAUUCAGUAGAAUACCCGAGAUGGACUGCACAUGUGGUUCUCGGUGAAGAGCCUCUUGGUGGCUACGCUUUAUGGAGUCUUGUGCAGGAUCAAUCAUUCUGGAAGGCAUACCCGCUGGCAUGCUGAUCUAUCUCGCCGUGGAACAUGCAUGUCUGUGUCUCAGUAGAAUAUCUGAGGUACAUGCUACGAUGCCUGGUACUCCCUCCGUCCCGAAAUAAGUAUCUUUGAUUUAGUACAACUUUGUACUAAAUCAAAGGCACUUAUUUUGGGACGGAGGGAGUACUUGUCUGGCUUUACAAUUAUCUCAUGUCAUUCUGUCCAUCAUGGUUCAUGAGGCUGCUUGUACAAGCUUCUCUGCCUUCUUUUUAUUCUAUCGUUGGGAGUUGUUCUUAAAUACUUGCCAAGAAAAUUUGAGCAAACUAAAGGUCCUCAUCACUUGUCAUGUCAAGGAACAAAAUUGGAGCACAAAAUAA
Triticum dicoccoides is the source of this 1648-nucleotide long non-coding RNA. RefSeq lists it as uncharacterized. The transcript is spliced from 4 exons. The record is from RefSeq and is a predicted model, not a curated record. NCBI's taxonomy places the organism in Eukaryota, Viridiplantae, Streptophyta, Magnoliopsida, Poales, Poaceae.